RNAcentral lists this long non-coding RNA (1099 nucleotides) under Bos indicus x Bos taurus (hybrid cattle). Its description in RNAcentral is "lncRNA (ENSBIXG00000025315.1)". Lineage: Eukaryota; Metazoa; Chordata; Mammalia; Artiodactyla; Bovidae. The record is from RNAcentral.
CUUGGGUCUGAAGAGCGUUUUCCCACAUGACCCUGGCCGAAGAGGCAAUUUAGCUAGGUCGUCUCUGUUACUGAAACAUCUCCAAGGCAUUUGUUUCAACCCUUCUGAUCUAAGUAUACAACUGCGUAUUUCUACACUGAAAAAUAGAACCCGGGCUAGGACUAUCGAUUUUGUGAAAGAGCUCAAAACAUUAAAAGGUGCAGCCCACGCACCCAUGAGGCACUGACACUCAGAGAUGCACUCAAGCCAGGAUCACAUGCAAUAGUGAGGACUGGACACAUGGCUGAUUGGAAUUGGGAUGUGCUAUACACUGCCGAAAGAUAACAGCAACAGAAGUCAUGUCAUGAAGCCGAGGAUCACUGGGGGAAAUGCGAAUCCACAGGCCUUCAGAUCUGAGGCAGCAUUCUCAAAUGCUGAAGUCAUCUCCUAUCCACCCGAGGCCCUCAGAUCUGCACAUCGAUGUAUGAAAUUGGAGGCUAAUAUGCAGGAAAGGAUAGCAGAUCUGAUGCCAACCAGAAGAUGCAUGAAUGUCAGGGGAGACAAUGGUAAAGUUGCGAGGUAGACUGUUUAUAUUUGGGGGGGCUGCGUUCCUUCCUCUCUCCUGUUUCAAAACUUCCCCCCAUUCUUGGCUAUUUUCCCACUUUAUAUUCCCACUUCUUUCCAUUUAUUGUGUUACUAAUUAUUGAGUGCAAACAUUUAACAUCACAAUUUAGCAUCAAAAUAAGAUUGUGUACACAGAGAUGAAACAGAUCAACAGGAUCAAAAACAUGUCAGUGUCCAAACAUGCAGGAUGUGUGACCGUGGCUUGAAGAACAUCCUGGAGAUGAUUGCGGAGCCUUUUUUUAAGAAAUGCUGUAACAUCAACCCUCUUGAUGGCAUAGAAGAUAACUUUGUGUGGAAAAUCAGCCUCUAAUGACUCUGAGUAGAAAAGUAUUAUAGAAAAGUCAUACUCUGUACGUGAAGAAGUUUUAGGAAUACCUUACCUUAUUUCACUUAUGACUUCCCUUUUGCAUAUGCACAAGAGUUUAUUUGAUGAAAGUUUGUAUCUAAAUGAGGAUUCUUUUAAUAUGCUUAAAAUAAAAAUUCAAAGCCUUGAUCA